RNAcentral lists this transfer RNA (73 nucleotides) under Culex quinquefasciatus (southern house mosquito). It matches the Rfam family "tRNA". Rfam says of the family: Transfer RNA (tRNA) molecules are approximately 80 nucleotides in length. Their secondary structure includes four short double-helical elements and three loops (D, anti-codon, and T loops). Further hydrogen bonds mediate the characteristic L-shaped molecular structure. tRNAs have two regions of fundamental functional importance: the anti-codon, which is responsible for specific mRNA codon recognition, and the 3' end, to which the tRNAs corresponding amino acid is attached (by aminoacyl-tRNA synthetases). tRNAs cope with the degeneracy of the genetic code in two manners: having more than one tRNA (with a specific anti-codon) for a particular amino acid; and 'wobble' base-pairing, i.e. permitting non-standard base-pairing at the 3rd anti-codon position. The record is from Rfam by way of RNAcentral. Lineage: Eukaryota; Metazoa; Arthropoda; Insecta; Diptera; Culicidae.
GGCUCCGUGGCUUAGUGGUUACGGCUUCUGCCUCACAAGCAGAAGGUUCAGGGACAAAUCCCAGCCGGUACCU